GCAGACAUAGUUUAAUGGUAAAACAUUAACCUUCCAAGUUAAGGAUGAGGGUUCGAUUCCCGCUGUUUGCUCCA
RNAcentral lists this transfer RNA (74 nucleotides) under Bacilli bacterium. Its description in RNAcentral is "tRNA-Gly". It matches the Rfam family "tRNA". From Rfam's summary of the family: Transfer RNA (tRNA) molecules are approximately 80 nucleotides in length. Their secondary structure includes four short double-helical elements and three loops (D, anti-codon, and T loops). Lineage: Bacteria; Bacillati; Bacillota; Bacilli. The record is from RNAcentral.